GCCUCUAUAUGCUAAAUGGGAAAGCAGCAGGUCUUAAAAACCAGUGACUGUCGGUUCGAAUCCGACUAGGGGUAC
RNAcentral lists this transfer RNA (75 nucleotides) under Streptomyces phage Coruscant. RNAcentral's name for it is "tRNA-Leu". It matches the Rfam family "tRNA". Rfam says of the family: Transfer RNA (tRNA) molecules are approximately 80 nucleotides in length. The record is from RNAcentral. Lineage: Duplodnaviria; Heunggongvirae; Uroviricota; Caudoviricetes; Stanwilliamsviridae.